GCAGGGGGAAGAGGGGGACGAUGACUACCUUCCGAGUCAAACGCAGACGCACAGCCAGGUGCAGAGGAAUCUGGAGAGACGCUCCCAGGAGCAAGUGGAUCAGAAGGUCAGUGAGCUGGUUCAGUUUCUGCUCGUGAAAGACCAGAAGAAGAUCCCCAUCAAGAGAUCAGAUAUUCUGAAGAAGGUCAUCCGCGAG
Non-coding RNA from Struthio camelus australis, 196 nucleotides. The record is from RefSeq and is a predicted model, not a curated record. Lineage: Eukaryota; Metazoa; Chordata; Aves; Struthioniformes; Struthionidae.